AGUGGGUGUAACGUACCUACUAGCCUACGACGGGUACGGGUUGUGAGAGCAAGAGCCCGGAGAUGGAUUCUGAGACACGAAUCCAGGCCCUACGGGGUGCAGCAGGCGCGAAAACUUUACAAUGCGGGGAACCGUGAUAAGGGAAUCUCGAGUGCCAGCAUAUAAUGUUGGCUGUCCAGAUGCCUAAAAAGCAUCUGUUAGCAAGGGCCGGGCAAGACCGGUGCCAGCCGCCGCGGUAACACCGGCGGCCCGAGUGGUAACCGUUAUUAUUGGGUCUAAAGGGUCUGUAGCCGGCCAUGUAAGUCCCUUGGGAAAUCUGGCAGCUCAACUGUCAGGCUGCUAGGGGAUACUGCUUGGCUUGGGACCGGGAGAGGUGAGAGGUACCUUGAGGGUAGGGGUGAAAUCUUGUGAUCCUCGGGGGACCACCAGUGGCGAAGGCGUCUCACCAGAACGGAUCCGACGGUAAGGGACGAAAGCUAGGGGCACGAACCGGAUUAGAU
Molecule: ribosomal RNA, 500 nt
Filed under: uncultured microorganism
Description: bacterial SSU rRNA
Rfam family: Archaeal small subunit ribosomal RNA
Source: RNAcentral